Molecule: long non-coding RNA, 1010 nt
Organism: Heterocephalus glaber (naked mole-rat)
Lineage: Eukaryota; Metazoa; Chordata; Mammalia; Rodentia; Bathyergidae
Source: Ensembl
CUGGUGUCCCUGAAAGGGAUCUCGCCGCUGCCCACCCGCCGCUCCGCUGCCCCGCAGGAGGCCGCCAGGGAGGGGCCGGCGACAGCGCGAGGCACCGGGAGGCGGGGGCGGCGGGGAAGUGAUGCUGGCGCCUGGGAGCCGGGCAGCGGCAGGCAAGCGGCCGCGUCUUCGGGACCCUGCUGCAGUGGCCCCGUGGCCCGCGGGCCAGCGGAGUGGCUGGAGACCACACGCCUAGCGGAUCUACUGGAGGCACUUCAAAAAUUACUCAGUCGAAGAGAGGAGGGAUUCAGUGCUUUACCCUGAGAGGACUGCAGAAUUUCCAUCAUAAGACUCGCAACAUGAAUCAAUCCCAGCGUCACACACUCUAGAUCCAGACACCUCUGAAAAAGCCCUACCUAUGACUGCAUAAGGCCUUGGUGGGACAUCGCGACACAAGCCGUAACAAUUACAGGUGGAAAAUAUAAAGAAAACUGGAGAAGCAGAAUGCAAUGUCACAACCUUUGAGUCUGUUGCUUAUUGGUGUAAUUGAAAAAUACAGAGAAUGUCUCAGUUUUAGAAGAUUAUUAUGGUAAAAGACAUUACCAUGAAUCUCCUCAAGAUACCCUCACUUCAGACAAACAUAUUUCAUCCUUCUUGACACUUCCUGAGGCAGUUCUGCAAGCUCUCUUUCCCAAGCGUCUGUAGUUGUGCUGUCAUGGCUGCCUCCAUGUCCUGAAUUGAUUCAAAACAUUCACCUUUCACCGUCAUUUUGACUUUGAGGAAGAGCCAGCAUUUGCACAGUGCCGGACCCAGCAAAUAAGGUAGAUGAUGACACACCAUAAUGCUUUUAUUUGACAGAAAUUGCAUUAAUAUUUUGAAUUGAUUCAGGAGCUGCUUCAGUGAGUGCCAGGAGCAAUGGGAUAGGUGUGUUGGAGGCAAGGGACAAUAUUUUGACAAGAAUUAAUGGCAGUUUUCCUUUUACUGUAAUAAUUGCUAAAUUUUCAUUUAAACAUUCACUAUUUUUAUCACAC